RNAcentral lists this ribosomal RNA (422 nucleotides) under uncultured bacterium. RNAcentral describes it as "partial 16S ribosomal RNA". It matches the Rfam family "Bacterial small subunit ribosomal RNA", at positions 359 to 773 of the family's 1533-position model. The record is from RNAcentral.
GAAUUUUGGACAAUGGGCGCAAGCCUGAUCCAGCCAUGCCGCGUGCGGGAUGAAGGCCUUCGGGUUGUAAACUGCUUUUAUCCGGAAAGAAGAGCUCUGGGUUAAUACCCUUGGAUCAUGACGGUACCGUCAGAAUAAGCCCCGGCUAACUCCGUUCCAGCAGCCGCGGUAAUACGUAGGGUGCAAGCGUUAACCGGAAUUACUGGGCGUAAAGCGAGCGUAGGCGGUUUGGUAAGACAGAGGUGAAAGCCCCGGGCUCAACCUGGGAACUGCAUCUGUGACUGUAAGGCUAGAGUACGGGAGAGGGGGGUAGAAUUCCGCGUGUAGCAGUGAAAUGCGUAGAUAUGCGGAGGAACACCGAUGGCGAAGGCAACCCCCUGGGAUUGUACUGACGCUGAUGCACGAAAGCGUGGGGAGCAAAC